Molecule: ribosomal RNA, 445 nt
Filed under: uncultured bacterium
Lineage: Bacteria
Description: partial 16S ribosomal RNA
Rfam family: Bacterial small subunit ribosomal RNA
Source: RNAcentral
GUGAGGAAUAUUGGUCAAUGGACGAGAGUCUGAACCAGCCAAGUCGCGUGAAGGAAGACGGUUCUAUGAAUUGUAAACUUCUUUUGUGCAGGAAUAAAGUGGGUUACGUGUAACCUUUUGUAUGUACUGUACGAAUAAGGAUCGGCUAACUCCGUGCCAGCAGCCGCGGUAAUACGGAGGAUCCGAGCGUUAUCCGGAUUUAUUGGGUUUAAAGGGUUCGUAGGUGGAUUGAUAAGUCAGCGGUGAAAGUUUGCAGCUUAACUGUAAAAUUGCCGUUGAAACUGUCGGUCUUGAGUGCAAAUGAGGUAGGCGGAAUGUGUUGUGUAGCGGUGAAAUGCUUAGAUAUAACACAGAACUCCGAUUGCGAAGGCAGCUUACUGGGAUGCAACUGACACUGAUGCACGAAAGCGUGGGUAUCAAACAGGAUUAGAAACCCUAGUAGUCC